This 391-nucleotide long non-coding RNA is filed under the name Heterocephalus glaber (naked mole-rat). RNAcentral's name for it is "lncRNA (ENSHGLG00100046333.1)". The record is from RNAcentral. Lineage: Eukaryota; Metazoa; Chordata; Mammalia; Rodentia; Bathyergidae.
AUUUUUGUGUCAUGGCAGCUGGGACAAACCUGAAGACAUCUGGACACUUGGGACAACUUUCCUCAUUGAUAUACCUGAGGUGAUCAUUGCCACACCUGGAUUAUCACAGGAUUGAACUCAAGGCGUUCACACGGAGCUACAUCCCCAGUGCUUUUUAAAAUUUUGAGACAAUGUCUUGCUAAAUUGCCCAGGCUAGGGCUCAGACUUCUGAUCCUCCUGCUUCAGUCUCCCAAAGUGCUGCAAUUACAGACGUGCACCAGCAUGCCUGGGAGGCCCAAGAGUCCAGACGUGUCUUGCUUAGACCUUCCCUGCAGGCCUCUUUUCCCCCCAUCAUCCCCUCCUGACGUCUUCCCUGCAGAGAAGAGUGAAGGAGAAGAGCAGGAACCUGUGG